CCUACGGGAGGCAGCAGUGGGGAAUAUUGGGCAAUGGAGGCAACUCUGACCCAGCAAUGCCGCGUGAGUGAUGAAGGUAAUUUUAUUGUAAAGCUCUUUUCUUUGGAACGAAUAAAUGACGGUACCAAAGGAAUAAGCCCCGGCUAACUACGUGCCAGCAGCCGCGGUAAUACGUAGGGGGCACGCGUUGGUCGGAAGGACUGGGGGUCAAGGGGGGGUAGGUGGGUUGAUAAGUAAGUUGUGUAAUACCUAGGGCUUAACUCGGGUGCUGCAUCUAAUACUGUUAGACUUGAGUACUGGAGAGGAUAGUGGAAUUCCUAGUGUAGCAGUGGAAUGCGUAGAUAUUAGGAGGAACAUCAGUGGCGAAGGCGAGUAUCUGGACAGCAACUGACACUGAGGCACGAAGGCGUGGGGAGCAAACAGGAUUAGAUACCCGGGUAGUC
RNAcentral lists this ribosomal RNA (443 nucleotides) under uncultured bacterium. Its description in RNAcentral is "partial 16S ribosomal RNA". It matches the Rfam family "Bacterial small subunit ribosomal RNA", at positions 338 to 795 of the family's 1533-position model. The record is from RNAcentral.